This 1761-nucleotide long non-coding RNA is filed under the name Setaria italica (foxtail millet). RNAcentral describes it as "long non-coding RNA (SITA_LNC003677)". The record is from RNAcentral. Lineage: Eukaryota; Viridiplantae; Streptophyta; Magnoliopsida; Poales; Poaceae.
GGUGUUAGAAAAUAUGAAUUCACAAGAAAUGCUCCUGACAUUCAUUUAAUAAACCCAAAACAUUUCUAAUAAAACAUAUUUUGGUUCCACGAAAGGUCCCCAAAUUGCAGUCUGUGAGAAGCGCAACUUUUGUCUCUCACCGCCACAGGUGAGGUUAGGCAGUCUCGCCGAUGAGCACCAGGUUCUUCCCUUGCUGCUUCUAGGUGUCGUGGAGUACUCCAAGGAUUGUUGCUACUUGUCUGCUACCCCUUGUCCAACAGCUGUAAUUUUAUACUUGUAGCCAAAAAUUUCAUACUGCUAAUUUUGCAAAUCUGCUAGUGCGGCUGUUUUAAUUUGAUCUAUUAGGACACUGUAAGUCUGAAUCUUGUUACGUCUUAAUAUGCAGCUGUACCCCUGUAUAUAACUGCUAUGCCGAUCACAUCUUCUAGGUGUCGUGGAGUACUCCAAGGAUUGUUGCUACUCGUCUGCUACCUCUUGUCCAACAGCUGUAAUUUUAUACUUGUAGCCAAAAAUUUCAUACUGCUAAUUUUGCAAAUCUGCUAGUACGGCUGUUUUAAUUUGAUCUAUUAGGACACUGUAAGUCUGAAUCCUGUUACGCCUUAAUACAGCUGUAUGCCUAUAUAUAACUGCUGUGCCGAUCACAUCUUAUCUCCCAAUGUGCUCCCUGACGUGAAUGUGCAAUAACAACAUCACUCCAUCGGUCUCAACUUUUGCAGAGAUAUGAGAAGGUUGUAGGCAGAAACUACCUGUUUGCCAUGUUUUAAUCAUACUGCCUGCUAAGCAUCUUGAAUAAGUUGGACUUGUGAUGCAAAGGUUUAUGAUCUGUUGUUCAGAAUAUGAUGACCUGAUGUUUGCCAUGUUUUAAUCAUACUGCCUGCUAAUCAUCUUGAAUAAGUUGGACUUGUGAUGCAAAGGUCUAUGACCUGUUGUUCAGAAUAUGAUGACCUGAUGUUUACCACUUACCUUAAUGUAGAACAUAGAUCCAAUCUGAAUAUUUCUUGCAAUUAAUAUGGUUGAUCAGUACUUUGGUCCUGCCUUAACCGAUCUAUUUUAUAGUACUAUGAUUCAUUUUAAUUUGAGCCAAGUCAAAAGGACUUGUGCAGUAAUUACAAACUUGUGUUUUCUGUGAAGUAUGCUCAUGUACUAAUUAUUUAGCCAUUAUUUCUGCCAGUUUACACAUUUGGUAAAACAUCGAAUUACUUUGUGCCAUGCUAUUAGCCAGCUCACGUAUUAAUUAUUUUCCCAGUAUUUCAUACAGCGACGAAGUCAUGGCUGUGAUUCAUAGUGGCAUGAGGUUAUAUGCAAGUCAUUCUUAUUUCAUUUUUCCUUGGGACAAUGCUUUACUUUGUACUGCUGGUUAAAAUCUCACUUAUGUUUUUGCACGAGAUUCAUGAAUCGAUUGUAAGAUGUUUCAGUUAUGGGUAGAAACAGAUUAUUUAAGGUUCGAGCUCUGAAACAUCUAGAAUUAUUGAAAAUUUCUUUUAGCAUUUUGGCCUUAUUUAAUUUACACUUCUGUAUAUACUAAUGCUUAACUGGGAUAUAAAGGAGAUCUAUAAGAUGUGAUAUCUUCUCAACGGGUUUUUGUGCAGAACUACACACAUCAGUGUUAUCUCGACGAUUCAAGCUUAUAUGUGCCUGCUCCUGCUACUGUUUAUUGGUUCAGAUGUGCCUAUACUGAAACAUGCACACUGCAGCUCGCAGCUCACUCUGGUAAUUACUCCUUGAUACGAUGAGUUAUGAUGUGCCUGUACGAUGAGCUCU